Molecule: non-coding RNA, 1033 nt
Organism: Biomphalaria pfeifferi
Lineage: Eukaryota; Metazoa; Mollusca; Gastropoda; Planorbidae
Source: the annotation of a GenBank genome assembly
CUUUUUUUUUUUUUUUGUUCAUUUUAUGGCAUUGAAUUUCUUACAUUUUUAUUUUGCUACGGGAAAAGCACAUCAGUGUUUUGUUACGUUAAGGGAAUAUAAAUAUAUAUAUAUAAAUACGUUUAAUCCGUUGACGUUUGUGUUCAGUUUUAUUGUUACAAUGUUUGAGUGUUUAAAAUAUCUGUACGACUUUGUAUACAACUGAAAGAAUUCCAGUCUUAAACCAGCACGCCAGUCAGAGUUGUUCACUGUCAUAUUCAAAACAUUUCAUCUUCUCAUUUGUUUGUUUAUUGUAGCCUCCAGUUUAUUCAACAAGAUCCAUGUGCUGUAUCUUUUGCCCCCCCCUAAUUGCCUUAUUGACUUGACCCUCAAAAGUGUUUUGUUUUUGUCUAAUUGCACACUAAUUGCUAUUUAUACAAUUAUUUGCUGAGGUGUGUGCCAUCUGUAGAGUCUCUUCCAGUUCAGCAUUUUGGCUUUUUUUGUUUUGGUCAACAACUCUAGUUGUUUGUGUUUAAAUAGACAUCUUAUUAGUGUUGUGAGAAGCUGCUUGUUAACUACAAAUUUCAAUCUGGAGCUAGAGCAAUAGUUGUUUUUUUUAACUACUUUAUUAACUGCUGGGGCUUGAUGUAUUUUUGAAAUGUGUGUGCAAGUCGUUUUCAAUGGUAGUUGCAGUCUGUAGUGAAUGCUACUCACCAUUGUUUUGUAUAGGUCUCAAUCAAAAUCAGACAUGCAAGUGUGGAGACAUUAUUUGUGUGUGCGUGUGUUUCAAUAAUGAACAACUAUUGUUUUAUUUUGGGCUUUUUUCUGUUAUAUGUUGCUACUGCCAUUAGUUGUCAUUACUUAUAAUAAAAUUGUUGAAGGUAUUGCCUGCUAAAAAAAAUCAUACUUUCUGACUAGAAUUUUGUUAAAUCAUGUUUUGUUUAACUUACUGCCAUGUUUGUUUGGCUCAAUGUGAUAUAUAGGCACCAGCUUGAUCUGUUUAAUUCAAAUCAAAAUUUUUUUUUUCAUUCCUCCACCCCCCCCCCCCCCCACC